UACGGAGGGUGCAAGCGUUAAUCGGAAUUACUGGGCGUAAAGCGUGCGCAGGCGGUUUGUUAAGUCCGCUGUGAAAUCCCCGAGCUCAACUUGGGAAUUGCAGUGGAUACUGGCAAGCUGGAGUAUGGUAGAGGAAGGUGGAAUUCCCGGUGUAGCAGUGAAAUGCGUAGAGAUCGGGAGGAACACCAGUGGCGAAGGCGGCCUUCUGGACCAAUACUGACGCUCAUGCACGGAAGCGUGGGGAGCAAACAGG
RNAcentral lists this ribosomal RNA (253 nucleotides) under uncultured bacterium. Its description in RNAcentral is "partial 16S ribosomal RNA". It matches the Rfam family "Bacterial small subunit ribosomal RNA", at positions 524 to 776 of the family's 1533-position model. The record is from RNAcentral.